CCUACGGGGGGCAGCAGUGGGGAAUAUUGGACAAUGGGGGCAACCCUGAUCCAGCCAUGCCGCGUGUGUGAAGAAGGCCCUCGGGUUGUAAAGCACUUUCAGUGAGGAAGAACGCCUGGUGGUUAAUACCCAUCAGGAAAGACAUCACUCACAGAAGAAGCACCGGCUAACUCCGUGCCAGCAGCCGCGGUAAUACGGAGGGUGCGAGCGUUAAUCGGAAUUACUGGGCGUAAAGCGCGCGUAGGUGGCUUGAUAAGCCGGUUGUGAAAGCCCCGGGUUCAACCUGGGAACGGCAUCCGGAACUGUCAAGCUAGAGUGCAGGAGAGGAAGGUAGAAUUCCCGGUGUAGCGGUGAAAUGCGUAGAGAUCGGGAGGAAUACCAGUGGCGAAGGCGGCCUUCUGGACUGACACUGACACUGAGGUGCGAAAGCGUGGGUAGCAAACAGGAUUAGAUACCCUUGUAGUC
Molecule: ribosomal RNA, 465 nt
Filed under: Vreelandella stevensii
Lineage: Bacteria; Pseudomonadati; Pseudomonadota; Gammaproteobacteria; Oceanospirillales; Halomonadaceae
Description: partial 16S ribosomal RNA
Rfam family: Bacterial small subunit ribosomal RNA
Source: RNAcentral